RNAcentral lists this ribosomal RNA (392 nucleotides) under uncultured bacterium. RNAcentral describes it as "partial 16S ribosomal RNA". It matches the Rfam family "Bacterial small subunit ribosomal RNA", at positions 523 to 918 of the family's 1533-position model. The record is from RNAcentral.
AUACGUAUGGGGCGAGCGUUAUCCGGAAUUAUUGGGCGUAAAGAGUACGUAGGUGGUUUUUUAAGCGGGAGGUUUAAGGCUACGGCUUAACCGUAGUUCGCCUCUCGAACUGGAAGACUUGAGUGCAGGAGAGGAAAGCGGAAUUCCUAGUGUAGCGGUGAAAUGCGUAGAUAUUAGGAGGAACACCGGUGGCGAAGGCGGCGUUCUGGACUGUAACUGACACUGAGGUACGAAAGCGUGGGGAGCAAACAGGAUUAGAUACCCUGGUAGUCCACGCCGUAAACGAUGAGCACUAGGUGUCGGGUCAAAAGGCUCGGUGCCGAAGUUAACGCAUUAAGUGCUCCGCCUGGGGAGUACGUACGCAAGUAUGAAACUCAAAUGAAUUGGCGGGG